UACGUAGGGGGCAAGCGUUGUCCGGAUUUAUUGGGCGUAAAGAGCGUGUAGGCGGCCAGGUAGGUCAGCUGUGAAAACUCGAGGCUCAACCUCGAGACGCCGGUUGAAACCAUCUGGCUAGAGUCCGGAAGAGGAGAGUGGAAUUCCUGGUGUAGCGGUGAAAUGUGUAGAGAUCGGGAGGAACACCGGUGGCGAAGGCGGUCUUCUGGACGGUGACUGACGCUGAGGCGCGAAAGCGUGGGGAGCAAACGGG
This 253-nucleotide ribosomal RNA is filed under the name uncultured bacterium. RNAcentral describes it as "partial 16S ribosomal RNA". It matches the Rfam family "Bacterial small subunit ribosomal RNA", at positions 524 to 776 of the family's 1533-position model. The record is from RNAcentral.